RNAcentral lists this unclassified non-coding RNA (911 nucleotides) under Hevea brasiliensis (rubber tree). Lineage: Eukaryota; Viridiplantae; Streptophyta; Magnoliopsida; Malpighiales; Euphorbiaceae. The record is from RNAcentral.
CCACAAGUUCUUUUUCCGAGUGAGAGAGAAUGGCGUCCUCUGCUCAUCUCUCCGCUGUCCCUCAACGCUUCUCUUUCUCCCCUAAAACCUCUCCUGGUUACUCGUUCAACUCCAACUCAAUUGGGAUUCGAGUGAGAUCAAGUUUGGAAAAUGAGAGCUGCUCUUCUGAAGUUCCCAAGCAUUCCUUGGAAUCAAUCAAGGAAUCUCAAGCAUCAACAUCAAGGCGUCAGUGCAUUACUUGUUUAUGUUCAACUAUAGUGCUGAGUAGUAGUGCUGGAACCUCCAUCUCCAUCCCAAAGGCAAUUGCUUUAGAUGGAAAAGAAAGAGCUCUUUGCCGUAAUUGUGGAGGCAGCGGUGCUGUACUUUGCGAUAUGUGUGGGGGUACCGGAAAAUGGAAAGCUCUCAACAGAAAACGUGCUAAAGAUGUUUAUGAGUUUACGGAAUGCCCUAAUUGCUAUGGUCGGGGGAAACUUGUGUGUCCUGUGUGCUUAGGUACUGGUUUGCCAAAUAACAAAGGUCUUCUAAGGAGGCCUGAUGCACGGCAAUUACUUGAUAAGAUGUAUAAUGGUCGGCUAUUGCCUGGAUCUUGAGCCAAUCCGCCAAGUAGAAAAUUUUGGAAACAUUGCAAUUAUGGAAUUUUGAUCGUAAGACUAUGAAAAGAUGAAUGCAGCCAGCAGCACUAUCAGUGUAUAUAGUCUGAACGUUAUCUUUAUGUCUAGCACACAUUGGAAGCUUUUCUUCUUUAGACUAGCCCUUGAAAAAACCUAGCUUUGAUUUUGAAUAUGUAUGCUAUUUCAUUAAAAGUCGGCCCAAUCAGAGGACAGUGAACCAUCUUCUUUAUGUUCACUGUAGUGUAUAACAUUAAUUCAUUGAGCUAUAAGAGAACCUAAUGGUGCAGUCUUGUGUUGGUU